This 818-nucleotide ribosomal RNA is filed under the name Clostridium sp. RNAcentral describes it as "bacterial SSU rRNA". It matches the Rfam family "Bacterial small subunit ribosomal RNA", at positions 56 to 891 of the family's 1533-position model. Lineage: Bacteria; Bacillati; Bacillota; Clostridia; Eubacteriales; Clostridiaceae. The record is from RNAcentral.
UGCAGUCGAGCGAUGAAGCUCCUUCGGGAGUGAAUUACGGCGGACGGGUGAGUAACACGUGGGUAACCUGCCUCAUAGAGGGGAAUAGCCUUCCGAAAGGGAGAUUAAUACCGCAUAACAUAGCACUACCGCAUGGUAGAGUUAUCAAAGGAGCAAUCCGCUAUGAGAUGGACCCGCGGCGCAUUAGCUAGUUGGUGAGGUAACGGCUCACCAAGGCGACAAUGCGUAGCCGACCUGAGAGGGUGAUCGGCCACAUUGGAACUGAGACACGGUCCAGACUCCUACGGGAGGCAGCAGUGGGGAAUAUUGCGCAAUGGGGGAAACCCUGACGCAGCAACGCCGCGUGAGUGAAGAAGGCCUUAUGGUUGUAAAGCUCUGUCAUAUGGGAAGAUAAUGACGGUACCAUAAGAGGAAGCCACGGCUAACUACGUGCCAGCAGCCGCGGUAAUACAUAGGUGGCGAGCGUUGUCCGGAUUUACUGGGCGUAAAGGAUGCGUAGGCGGAUAUUUAAGUGGGAUGUGAAAUCCCCGAGCUUAACUCGGGGGCUGCAUUCCAAACUGGAUAUCUAGAGUGUCGGAGGGGAAAGUGGAAUUCCUAGUGUAGCGGUGAAAUGCGUAGAGAUUAGGAAGAACACCAGUGGCGAAGGCGACUUUCUGGACGAUAACUGACGCUGAGGCCUGAAAGCGUGGGGAGCAAACAGGAUUAGAUACCCUGGUAGUCCACACCGGAAGACGAUGAAUACUAGGUGUACGAGGUGUCGACUCCCUUCUUUUCGCACUUACAACAUUAAGUUUUCCCCCCGCCGAGUGCGAUCAGAA